This 1206-nucleotide long non-coding RNA is filed under the name Equus caballus (horse). Its description in RNAcentral is "lncRNA (ENSECAG00000055637.1)". The record is from RNAcentral. Lineage: Eukaryota; Metazoa; Chordata; Mammalia; Perissodactyla; Equidae.
UCAAAGACCAGCCUAGCAAGAGUGUGGUGACCAUGACAGAUCAGGAGGCUACAGGGCAGACUUCGUGCUACCAAGCACUUCCUCAAACCAAACCAUAGAACUGAAGUGUCGAGGAUUUGGAGGUCACUGAGGUAAAAUCCAUACCAGGGGUGUGACUCCCUUUGUUGGUGUUUCCAGUAAGCAGUGCCUCAAUCCAGCCUCUCUCCUUGGACGCCACCAACCGGCUGCUUCUUGCCACGAACCCAGGCAGCCCACGUGAGAUUGGGUACAGAGCAAGUCUGACUUUGCACCAGCUCUGAUGGCGAAGACCCCUCUGGGGACCUCCUACCCACGCCCACUCUCAGUUCUGCCUCCCCGGAGCCAUUUGAGGAAUUCUGGAGGAAUUUCCAAGAUGGCGGUCUUUGAAUAUGUCAUGAGAUUUUACCGCGGUUCUGUUCCCUUGCUCCAUCCCAAAGGGGGAAGGCAGCGUAGCAUAGUGGUUAUGAGUCCUGCAUCUGGAACCAAAUGGCUCAGGUUCAAACGUGACCCGCAGGAUGAACUCAGCUGCUCCAAUGGGCUUCCUGGCAAACCAACAAAGACACACCACCGGCCUCCCCACCGCAGUCAAUGGCACCGCCGACGCCCAGUGCUCACAAGCUUGGGAAGCUGCCUCGACCUUUCCCUCUGCUGUAUUCAGUCAAAUCCAGUGGAAUUCCUUUGACACCGCCUCAUCGCUGUCAGUCAAGGAGGCUCUCAUGGUACUGGCUUUUAAUUCGACUGCUUCAGCCCCAGGACCUUUGCACAUGCUGCUCCAGGCCACUUUGACCCACAAACUGCCUUCUCUGAAGACUCCAGUCUCUGGGCCUUUGAGGCCUCCACGCUGAUGUAUUUGGACGUCUCGGGGCCGUCUGUUACCGGAGGCCACUCCAGCCCCCCGAAGGCACGUCGGUUCCAUCAGCAGCAGCCCCCGCCCCGCGGCUGCCCAUGGAGCCGUUUGAAGUGGGUCCCGGUGGUGUUUACUCGCCUUCGUGGAUGACAGGUGUGGAAUUGACGGCAAUGGCAGCAGCAAGAGCAGCAUCAAUGAGAACCUGAGAGAAGCAUGAAUGGCAGAGUGAGGAUCCCUAUGACGGCAGCAAUAGUGGCAAGAUCAGAAAGGACAGCUGUACUGGGAGCAUCAUGGAGAGAGUCUCCUAGGAAUAGGUCAGGCAGGAGAACCACAACAAACAU